UACGUAGGGGGCAAGCGUUGUCCGGAUUUAUUGGGCGUAAAGAGCGUGUAGGCGGCCAGGUAGGUCGGUUGUGAAAACUGGAGGCUCAACCUUCAGAGGUCGACCGAAACCAUCUGGCUAGAGUCCGGGAGAGGAGAGUGGAAUUCCUGGUGUAGCGGUGAAAUGCGCAGAUAUCGGGAGGAACACCUAUGGCGAAGGCAGCUCGCCGGGACGUUACUGACGCUGAGACGCGAAAGCGUGGGGAGCAAACAGG
Molecule: ribosomal RNA, 253 nt
Filed under: uncultured bacterium
Lineage: Bacteria
Description: partial 16S ribosomal RNA
Rfam family: Bacterial small subunit ribosomal RNA
Source: RNAcentral